GGGUUCUAAUAAAUAAGGAGAAUAAAGAAUAUACUUAUUGAUUUUAGUUAGGAGUGAACAUAAUUGAAGUACUCACUUCUCUAUCUCUUUGGGAGUUAUGGACGUGACGAGGAUAGUUUUAGUUUAUUACCUCCGAUAUUUAUGGGGAGGUGGGUGAGAAGUAAGCACCUCUCUCGGUAGUCUUGUACGGAUGUGAAGGUCGUAUGUAAAAAACUCUCUCUUGGUGGAUGAGUACACAACUUUGGUUCUAUUAGGUAAGGUUGGUGUUCUUAGAACUAGAGAUCGGAAGGGGUUCAACGAAAGGUCAGUUUAGUAGAAAGGUGGUUUAGGUUUAGACACUCUCUCUCAACUCACAACCACAUCGCGGGUUCUACGCUAAGAUAGGGUUAGUGCACUACUUGAGUACUAACCCCGUGUUGGCGUAAAGCUCGCGUAUCGUUCCACCUAUAGUAAUGUUGUAUGGUACAUGACUUAUCUACUCUUAUGUUCUAUUUCCGAAUGUGAGCGGUGUUCGAUGUUGUAGUUAUGUUAUUAAGAAGUUAUGUAUCGUUAGUAGUAUGUCUUCUCGCCCUAGGCUGAUCCCUACUUUGGUUUGCUUUUCUUCUUGCUGUAGGUGGGACGAUUAGGGUUCGAGGGGGUGGGCCUUGGGUAGGGAACUAGCUUCUUCCUCUUCGUCUUCUUGAGGUUUUAUUCGUUCGGAGCGAGAGUGCAGUAGAGUAGCGUAAUGUACAUGGACGUUGACAAUAAGGCGAUCCUUCUUCUGGCUUAGGUGCUUCAUCUGCUGGG
This 786-nucleotide ribosomal RNA is filed under the name Triticum aestivum (bread wheat). Its description in RNAcentral is "partial small subunit ribosomal RNA". Lineage: Eukaryota; Viridiplantae; Streptophyta; Magnoliopsida; Poales; Poaceae. The record is from RNAcentral.